RNAcentral lists this ribosomal RNA (253 nucleotides) under uncultured bacterium. Its description in RNAcentral is "partial 16S ribosomal RNA". It matches the Rfam family "Bacterial small subunit ribosomal RNA", at positions 524 to 776 of the family's 1533-position model. The record is from RNAcentral.
UACGUAGGGUGCAAGCGUUGUCCGGAAUUAUUGGGCAUAAAGAGCUCGUAGGCGGUUUGUCGCGUCUGCUGUGAAAACUCGGGGCUUAACCCCGGGCCUGCAGUGGGUACGGGCAGACUAGAGUGCGGUAGGGGAGACUGGAAUUCCUGGUGUAGCGGUGAAAUGCGCAGAUAUCAGGAGGAACACCGGUGGCGAAGGCGGGUCUCUGGGCCGUAACUGACGCUGAGGAGCGAAAGCGUGGGGAGCGAACAGG